GCAUGUUGUUAAAGCAAAAGAGGAUGGAAAGAACACACAGGGACUGGUACAAUUAUGCUCACUGCCACAGUGACAAGAGUGCCAUUCAUGGCUUCUGGAAGGAUUGUUGGUCUAUCCAAACACAGUUUGUUAACAGACAACAUACUUUGUAUGAUUUCAAUCCUAUUAAAAAUAUUGAGGCUUUUGAGGGCCAACAAACACAUGAAAAGAUGCUCAACAUCACUAAUCAUCAGAGAAAUGCAAGUCAAAGCCACAAUGAGGUAUCACCUCACACCCAUCAGAAUGGCCAUCAUCACAAAAUCUGGAAACAACAAAUGUUGGAGAGGGUGUGGAGAAAAGGGAACUCUCCUGCACUGUUGGUGGGACUGUAAGUUGGUACAGCCACUAUGGAAAACAGUUUGGAGGUUCCUUAAAAAACUACAAAUAGAACUACCGUAUGAUCCAGUAAUCCCACUACUGGGCAUAUACCCAAAGAAAAUCAUAAUCCCAAAAGAAACAUGUACCAUAAUGUUCACUGCAGCAUUAUUUACAAUAGCCAGGACAUGGAAGCAACCGAAAUGCCCAUCGACAAAUGAAUGGAUAAAGAAGAUGUGGCAUAUAUAUACAAUGGAAUAUUACUCAGCUAUAAAAAGAGAUGAGAUGGAGCUCUAUGUAAUGAGGUGGAUAGACCUGGAGUCUGUCAUACAGAGUGAAGUAAGUCAGAAAGAGAAAGACAAAUAUUGUAUUGUAACUCACAUAUAUGGAAUCCAAAAACGGUACUGAUGAACUCAGUGACAAGAACAAGGACGCAGAUGCAGAGAAUGGACUGGAGAACUCGAGGUUUGGGAGGGGGCGGGGGGUGAAGGGGAAGCUGAGACAUAUAUAUACUACCAACUGUAAAAUAGAUAGCCAGUGCGAAGUUGUUGUAUAACAAAGGGAGUUCAACUCGAGGAUGGAAGAUGCCUUAGAGGACUGGGGCGGGGAGGGUGGGGGGGAGUCG
Molecule: long non-coding RNA, 979 nt
Organism: Hippopotamus amphibius kiboko
Lineage: Eukaryota; Metazoa; Chordata; Mammalia; Artiodactyla; Hippopotamidae
Exons: 3
Source: RefSeq, a predicted model, not a curated record